This is a non-coding RNA of Dipodomys ordii (Ord's kangaroo rat), 70 nucleotides long. The record is from Rfam. NCBI's taxonomy places the organism in Eukaryota, Metazoa, Chordata, Mammalia, Rodentia, Heteromyidae.
GGGAAGGUAGCUCAGUGGUAGAGUGCAUGCCUUGCAAGCGUGAGGCCCUGGGUUUCAUUCCUCAGCACCA